This 426-nucleotide ribosomal RNA is filed under the name Ditylum brightwellii. RNAcentral's name for it is "partial Bacterial large subunit ribosomal RNA". It matches the Rfam family "Bacterial large subunit ribosomal RNA", at positions 1261 to 1686 of the family's 2925-position model. Lineage: Eukaryota; Bacillariophyta; Thalassiosirophyceae; Lithodesmiales; Lithodesmiaceae. The record is from RNAcentral.
UUGAGAAGCUUGCUGGAGGUAUCAGAAGUGCUAAUGCUGACAUGAGUAACGAUAAUGGGUGUGAAAAACACCCACGCCGAAAGACCAAGGUUUCCUGCGCAACGUUAAUCGACGCAGGGUUAGUCGGUCCCUAAGGCGAGGCUGAAAAGCGUAGUCGAUGGAAAACAGGUUAAUAUUCCUGUACUUCUGGUUAUUGCGAUGGAGGGACGGAGAAGGCUAGGCCAGCUUGGCGUUGGUUGUCCAAGUUUAAGGUGGUAGGCUGGAAUCUUAGGUAAAUCCGGGAUUCUAAGGCCGAGAGCUGAUGACGAGUUAUCUUUUAGAUGACGAAGUGGUUGAUGCCAUGCUUCCAAGAAAAGCUUCUAAGCUUCAGGUAACCAGGAACCGUACCCCAAACCGACACAGGUGGUUGGGUAGAGAAUACCAAAG